Molecule: small RNA, 125 nt
Filed under: Marmota monax (woodchuck)
Lineage: Eukaryota; Metazoa; Chordata; Mammalia; Rodentia; Sciuridae
Source: RNAcentral
GCUGGGCGUGGUGGCUCACGACUGUAAUCCCAGCCUCUUGGGAGGCUGAGACAGGAGGAUUGUGAGUUCAAAGCCAGCUUCAGCAAAAGCAAGGUGCUAAGAAACCCAGUGAGACCCUGUCUCUA